This is a non-coding RNA of Paramormyrops kingsleyae, 708 nucleotides long. NCBI's taxonomy places the organism in Eukaryota, Metazoa, Chordata, Actinopteri, Osteoglossiformes, Mormyridae. The record is from RefSeq and is a predicted model, not a curated record.
CGGUAGUCGAGCGCCUAUCAGUAGCAAGCAGCUGUUCAUUCGUCAAGAAGCCGGCUCUGACCUUGAAGCCCAGAUGCACGCAUUUCAGCCAUACAGACCAGCUGCAGUGCUGUGUUCGAGGGUGGAACAGGAGGCCUGAUCCAGAGGACAAUGAUCACGAUCAGCGUCUUCUGGCAGCUCAGCUCACAUCUGAUACAGAAGGCAGACAGCGGGUUCCCUGGAGGACGACGGCUGUUCUGACUGCUGCCGGGAAAACUAGGGCAAACGCCGAGGACGACACAGGCUGGGAGACCCCAAAGUGCGAGCCGCACUAGCGGAAACGCCGAGGACGACACAGGCUGGGAGACCCCAAAGUGUGAGCCGCACGCCCACCCACAGGGAGCCACGGGACCCUUGGCUUUGCCUGUUUCUUUCGGGAUGCGGCCUAUGCUAAAACAUUAGCCACAGAGGGUCAGUGACUAAACGUAGCUGCUCUGCCUGUCCCUGCCAAGAGUUUCUUUUUGUAAUGAUGAAAGUGAGAGAACUUCCAGGGGAGGGUUACGGAGGAACCCAGAAAACCGAGAACAACACCCCCCCCCAUUGUUGUUCUGUGUCCAGAGCAGAGAUUCCCCCCAGCAUGCACCUCCCUGCUCUAAUGAGGUCAGCAGCGGACGUUUCCACGGCGUUCUCAGGUUAACAUCCUCUUCCCCGGCAGUCGUCUCUCCCUCU